GCGAUUGGUCAGACCAUAGAUAAUAUAGGAGACAGCGCGCUAGCGUAUCUAGUAUUAUAUGUGCCUAUGGUCGUCACGUCUGGUAGCGUCUCUGGCUGCUGUUGACCUUGUUUUUGGAGUAAAACACGGUGGAAGCUGAAUUAGUGAGGAUGACUCCUGCUCCUGUCAUCUCUAAGCUCCUCACACAUCUUUACCUGCACAUGAGGAAAAUCACUCCUGUAGAAUGCAGAUGUUCAGAGGGAGAUGAUGCCACAUCUGGUCCAGCUGAUGGAAGGUCUUGAAGUUCUCUGACUGGCCUCAACUGAAGAUGGUCGUCUCACUGGAUUUAAGGUUCAGAUGCUCAGUAACAAACUCCACCAAUGAGCCAACAGGGAAGCUUUAGGUUUAUUAAAUGUUACUAUGAAGGUUUCGCUGUUUUUCUUUGUGAAUGCAAUGUGCUCCAACUGAAACUUGAAUUAGAACUUAGAAGUAAAUCCUUCCAUCUGAAAGGAUUUAGUUGCAUUAAUAACCUCAUAACAUUCUAAUUUUUAUUCCAGUCUUGGUUGGAAAUAGAAUCUCUGUAUUGAUUCAGGUAAAAACUGAACUUCACAGCAUGUUGGAGCAAAACAACCAGAUGAAAACUGUGAUGGUGUUGGAUUGUCAGACCGUAAUGUUGCAGCUCAAAGCAGCUUUUCUAUCUCAGUUCAUUCUGACAUUCAGCUAUGAAUCAACACAGCAGAUGGUGAUCCAUGCUGUGGAAGUCUCACAUCUCCUGAUUUAAUGGAGCUGCUUUGCACUUUUUACACUCUUUAUUCACCAACACUUUAUUUAAUAAAAGUCCCAUCUAGUUUUUA
Long non-coding RNA from Amphiprion ocellaris (clown anemonefish), 833 nucleotides. RefSeq lists it as uncharacterized. The transcript is spliced from 3 exons. NCBI's taxonomy places the organism in Eukaryota, Metazoa, Chordata, Actinopteri, Pomacentridae. The record is from RefSeq and is a predicted model, not a curated record.